This 839-nucleotide unclassified non-coding RNA is filed under the name Homo sapiens (human). RNAcentral describes it as "MUC20 overlapping transcript (ENSG00000280993.2)". The record is from RNAcentral. Lineage: Eukaryota; Metazoa; Chordata; Mammalia; Primates; Hominidae.
GCAACACCAUUGAGGACGUAAGCAUGGGCAAAGACUUCAUGACUAAAACACCAAAAGAAAUGGCAACAAAAGCCAAAAUUGACAAAAGGUUUCCUUAAUGACAACAAAAAAGGGAGUAAUCCUACCCACUGUAAGAGUCAUGACUCUUGAUUGCAGCUGACAGAAACUCAUGACAGCCUGCUUUAGAUGAAGGGGGAGAGAAGGACUGGAAGAAUCUUGGAGUUGGGAAUGUCACACGUAAUUGAAGGAAGAACAAGAAAACUAUAAUUCUUCCCCUGGAGGCUGGAGUUUCCAGGAUGUCAAAAUUACCUCUGCUUGGGUGAGCUAUUUCAAGCAGCUGGGAUACCUGUGUCACUCCUGCUGUCUGCCAGUGACUGCCCAGGUGUCUGCUGGUUCCUCCCCAGGAGUAGGGAGGAACCAGGUGGGCUGGCUGGGAUGGGUGGAUAUUUAAAGACCAGGCCUUGGACGCUGCAGCACUUCUAUCUCUGCUUGAUGCCUGCUGCCACGUGGCUGGUCCUCCUCCUCCUGCUGUGGCUGAGCCUUGGGGUGAAGACAGGCAGCUGCUCCCAACCCCAGAACCUUUGCUGUCUUGGGACGGAUCACCACUGCAAGAGGGGAAGUUGCUACUGUGAUGAAUUCUGCCAUGUGGCACCAGACUGCCACCCAGACCACAGUGUCCUCUGCAACCCUGGUCAAAGGUGCCUACAUGCUCCUUCUAGCUUUGUUUCCCUGAUGUUCCUUGCCACCUGCUACUCCUCUCUGAGCUACUUUUCCAGCUUCUCAGAUGACCAAGAUGGUGCUGCAGAUGGUGCUGAGGAUGGAGAACCCACCAAGCCCCG